Molecule: long non-coding RNA, 300 nt
Organism: Gopherus evgoodei (Goodes thornscrub tortoise)
Lineage: Eukaryota; Metazoa; Chordata; Testudines; Testudinidae
Exons: 3
Source: RefSeq, a predicted model, not a curated record
GUGCACGCAGCAGCCCAGCAGUGUGUUUUGCCUCCACGUGGAGCCAGCAUCUGAUCGGCAUGGGCAUGUUAGUGUACGUGAAAGGUAGAAGAUUGACAGUGCUGAAGACUGAAGUCCUUUGUAUUUUUCAUGGAAUAUGAGCUGCCAUAACUCCCUGUGCUGAAUGAGGUUUUCCCAUAAUACCUCAUUUGUCUCAAAACUGAUUUCUACAGACAAGAUGGUAUUUAUUUCAAACUUCAUGCUUAUUUAAUCCUCCUCUCUGAUGUGUACCUGCUGGGAGUAGCUUAAAUUGUGUUUCUG